Non-coding RNA from Ictidomys tridecemlineatus (thirteen-lined ground squirrel), 606 nucleotides. The record is from RefSeq and is a predicted model, not a curated record. NCBI's taxonomy places the organism in Eukaryota, Metazoa, Chordata, Mammalia, Rodentia, Sciuridae.
AAUAGGAGAACCACAGAGAAGGUUUAGAGCAGGGAAAUUCUUCUGUGUGAUAAUAUACAGAUGUCUUUAUACAUUUGUCAAAACACAUGGAAGGUAUAAUACUAAGAAUAAACUAAUGUAAACUACGGAUUUUAGGGUUCCCCAGAGAAACAGAACCAAUGGACUGUGUAUAGAGAGAAUUUUAAGGAGUUGGCUCACACAAUAUGAAGGAUGGCAAAUCCAAAAUCAACAGGGUAGGUUGGCAAUCUGGAGACCUAAGGAGAAGCUGAUAUUACACCUAAAACUGAAAGUCCAUCUGCUGCAGAAUUCACUCUUUCUCAGUGUUUAGAUUUUGGAAAAAUGAAGAUCAUAUGACCUCAAUGUUUUUUUUCUAUUCUUUAAAAAGGAGUAGUUCAGUAACACUAUGAUUCCCACAAUAAGCACAUUUCAGACUGCAUGAUAAUAAAGCAGCAACAAUUUGUACAUGAACUUUUCAUGGAAUUCCCAGAAUGGAUCACUUAUUCUAUCAUGAUACAUCAUUGUAAAACAGAACAGGAUAAUUAGUAGCUAUUUUAAAGGGUAAAAGAAAAAAUCACUGAAUUCAGCAUUGAAAAAAAAAAGAAUGUU